GUGUAUGGCCAUAGCACCCUGAAUGCCCCUGUCUGAUCUCAGAAGCUGAGGAGGGUCGGACCUGGUUAAUACUUGGAUGGGAGACCGCCUGGGAAUACUGGGUGCCAUAGGCU
RNAcentral lists this ribosomal RNA (113 nucleotides) under Callithrix jacchus (white-tufted-ear marmoset). The record is from RNAcentral. Lineage: Eukaryota; Metazoa; Chordata; Mammalia; Primates; Cebidae.